GGAGAGAUGGCCGAGUGGUUGAAGGCGCUCCCCUGCUAAGGGAGUAUGGGGCUAUAAACCUCAUCGAGGGUUCGAAUCCCUCUCUCUCCGCCA
This 93-nucleotide transfer RNA is filed under the name Gammaproteobacteria bacterium. RNAcentral's name for it is "tRNA-Ser". It matches the Rfam family "tRNA". Rfam says of the family: Transfer RNA (tRNA) molecules are approximately 80 nucleotides in length. Their secondary structure includes four short double-helical elements and three loops (D, anti-codon, and T loops). Further hydrogen bonds mediate the characteristic L-shaped molecular structure. tRNAs have two regions of fundamental functional importance: the anti-codon, which is responsible for specific mRNA codon recognition, and the 3' end, to which the tRNAs corresponding amino acid is attached (by aminoacyl-tRNA synthetases). tRNAs cope with the degeneracy of the genetic code in two manners: having more than one tRNA (with a specific anti-codon) for a particular amino acid; and 'wobble' base-pairing, i.e. permitting non-standard base-pairing at the 3rd anti-codon position. The record is from RNAcentral. Lineage: Bacteria; Pseudomonadati; Pseudomonadota; Gammaproteobacteria.